GAUGAAGAACGCAGCGAAAUGCGAUAAGUAAUGUGAAUUGCAGAAUUCAGUGAAUCAUCGAGUCUUUGAACGCGCAUUGCGCCCCCUGGUAUUCCGGGGGGCAUGCCUGUCCGAGCGUCAUUGCUGCCCUCAAGCACGGCUUGUGCGUUGGGCCCCCGUCCCCGGUUUCCCCCGGGGACGGGCCCGAAAGGCAGCGGCGGCACCGCGUCCGGUCCUCGAGCGUAUGGGGCUUUGUCACCAGCUCUGUAGGCCCGGCCGGCGCCAGCCGACACCCAACUUUAUUUCUAAGGUUGACCUCGGAUCAGGUAGGGAUACCCGCUGAACUUAAGCAUAUCAAUAAGCGGAGGA
This 348-nucleotide unclassified non-coding RNA is filed under the name soil metagenome. RNAcentral describes it as "partial contains 5.8S ribosomal RNA, internal transcribed spacer 2, and large subunit ribosomal RNA". The stretch from base 1 to 120 matches the Rfam family "5.8S ribosomal RNA", at positions 35 to 154 of the family's 154-position model. The record is from RNAcentral.